This 467-nucleotide ribosomal RNA is filed under the name uncultured bacterium. Its description in RNAcentral is "bacterial SSU rRNA". It matches the Rfam family "Bacterial small subunit ribosomal RNA", at positions 917 to 1382 of the family's 1533-position model. The record is from RNAcentral.
GGGCCCGCACAAGCGGUGGAGCAUGUGGUUCAAUUCGAAGCAACGCGAAGAACCUUACCAGCCCUUGACUUGGGGAGUGUGGGUCGCAGAAACGUGACCCUUCAGUUCGGCUGGCUCCCACACAGGUGCUGCAUGGCUGUCGUCAGCUCGUGUCGUGAGAUGUUGGGUUAAGUCCCGCAACGAGCGCAACCCUCAUCUUCAGUUGCCAUCAUUAAGUUGGGCACUCUGAAGAAACUGCCGGUGACAAGCCGGAGGAAGGCGGGGAUGACGUCAAGUCCUCAUGGCCCUUACGGGCUGGGCUACACACGUGCUACAAUGGCGGUGACAAUGGGAUGCAAGGGGGCGACCCUGCGCCAAUCUCAAAAAGCCGUCUCAGUUCGGAUUGCACUCUGCAACUCGAGUGCAUGAAGUCGGAAUCGCUAGUAAUCGUGGAUCAGCACGCCACGGUGAAUACGUUCCCGGGCCUU